CGCCACCCACCCCCACCUACCUCGCACAGGACGAUUCCAAAGGAAAACACAUCCACCUUCUCAUCGUAGCUGCGGCCUGGAUGGAGAGAUAGGCUGUCAGCAGGUCUGAGCAGACCUCUGCGGGGUGAGGAUGAGAGCCCUGCCUGGGGGGGGUUCCAGGCCCAGCUCGGCCACCCACCAGCUGUGUGACUCUGGACAAGUCAUGGACCACACGGUGACCCCCAAAACUACCCAUGUCAAACCCCUGGAACCUGUGACCAUUACUUCACUGGAAAAAAGGUCUUUGCAAAUAUGGUCAUUAAAAGGAUCUUGAGAUGAGAUAAUCCUGGAUCAUCCGGGGGCGGCCUCUAGGUACCGUUGCAAACAUCCUAAGAGAGACUGAGGAGGACGACACACAGGGAGAGGCGGCCGUGGCCACGAGCCCGGGAAUGCCAGGGCAGCCACCAGAAGCCAGAAGCCGCAAGGAGUGGGUGCUCCCCGGAAAUCCCUGGAGGGAGCGGGGCUCUCCUGGAUUGCAGACUUCUGGCUUCCAGAACUGCAAGGGAAUAAAUGUCUCUUGUUUUAAACCA
Leopardus geoffroyi (Geoffroy's cat) is the source of this 569-nucleotide long non-coding RNA. RefSeq lists it as uncharacterized. The record is from RefSeq and is a predicted model, not a curated record. The transcript is spliced from 2 exons. NCBI's taxonomy places the organism in Eukaryota, Metazoa, Chordata, Mammalia, Carnivora, Felidae.